UGCUCUGUAAAGAGGUUUACAGAUGGAUGUAUUUUUUACAGGAUUGUUCUGGCAACUCAGCUGCCAGUUUUUCCCCGUAAAAACGAUGGCAGUUUUUUUACAGUGUAGGCUUUCCAUCACAUCGCUUUCCUGUUUUCUACAUUGAUACUGUUUGUCUUUAUUUAUAGAUUUCCUGAAGUGUUACACCUGUGCUGGGGGACAAUGCACUGAACCAUUGACCUGCCCUCCAGGGUCUGAUCGCUGUAUGAAAAUGAACACUCCUGCGGGAACCGUAAAAUCAUGUGGCACUCAAGCUGUAUGCGGUCUUGCAAAAGUAAACUGCUGUGAUAAGGAUCUGUGUAACGGCGCUGGGACCAUUGGGAAGAACCUCCUGCUCCUGCUGGUGCCGGUGGCCUCCAUCUUUGUGCUCUCCUGAGCUGAGAGCUCCAUCCUCCUCCUCUUCCUCCUCCUCCUCCUCCUCCUCUGGCCCCAGUUCAGUGCUGUAAUCAUUCCUGUAUUCACUUUCUCAGCAGGGCUCUCCUGAGCACAUUUGUCUAACCUGAUUGUUUACAUUGGGUUUCAAUCAAUCCUUGCAUUGCAGAGAUAUAUAUAUAUAUAAUUACUAAAACAUUAAACUAAUGUUUGUUUAAUCACUGAUCACUGUGAUUUGUCUAUUUGUGAUUAACUUACUCUUUUUGGAAAACGCAUAUUCAAUAAAAACAGACAUUUGUUUGGAAGCAUAA
Molecule: long non-coding RNA, 722 nt
Organism: Clupea harengus (Atlantic herring)
Lineage: Eukaryota; Metazoa; Chordata; Actinopteri; Clupeiformes; Clupeidae
Exons: 2
Source: RefSeq, a predicted model, not a curated record